This is a long non-coding RNA of Vidua chalybeata, 293 nucleotides long. RefSeq lists it as uncharacterized. The record is from RefSeq and is a predicted model, not a curated record. NCBI's taxonomy places the organism in Eukaryota, Metazoa, Chordata, Aves, Passeriformes, Viduidae. The transcript has 2 exons.
AUGGAGGCGCGCGCAGCCGCCAGCUUCCCUCCCGGAAUCGGGGACGUUGAGGAUGGAAGGGGUUUCUGCGGUCAUCGAGUCCAACCUACGGCCGAACACCAUCUUGUCACCUAGACCGUGGCAGUUGAACAAUCCGGGAAGAGAUGUACAUCGAUGAUGGAGUUAUGGAACCGGAACCGAUAUUGAGAUGCAUCCCCCAGAGAUUCCAGUAAUCCCAAUCUUGGGUAGUUGGUGGGAUGGUCAUCACUUGUUCGUUCCUAGAUUAUCUCAAGAAAUGGCCCAUCUCUGAGCGA